This 490-nucleotide ribosomal RNA is filed under the name uncultured bacterium. RNAcentral describes it as "partial 16S ribosomal RNA". It matches the Rfam family "Bacterial small subunit ribosomal RNA", at positions 28 to 507 of the family's 1533-position model. The record is from RNAcentral.
GAUGAACGCUCGCGAUAGGCUUAACACAUGCAAGUCGAGGGGCAGCAUGGUCUUAGCUUGCUAAGACUGAUGGCGACCGGCGCACGGGUGCGUAACGCGUAUGCAACUUGCCUCACAGAGGGGGAUAACCCGUCGAAAGACGGACUAAUACCGCAUACACUUGGGAUAGGGCAUCCUGACCCAAGGAAAUGAAAUUCGCUGUGAGAUAGGCAUGCGUCCCAUUAGCUAGUUGGUGAGGUAACGGCUCACCAAGGCGACGAUGGGUAGGGGAACUGAGAGGUUGAACCCCCACACUGGUACUGAGACACGGACCAGACUCCUACGGGAGGCAGCAGUGAGGAAUAUUGGUCAAUGGGCGAGAGCCUGAACCAGCCAAGUCGCGUGAAGGAUGACUGUCUUAUGGAUUGUAAACUUCUUUUAUACGGGAAUAACAAGAGCCACGUGUGGCUCCCUGCAUGUACCGUAUGAAUAAGCAUCGGCUAACUCCGUG